GCAGUGGAGGCUCAGUGGUAGAAUUCUAGCUUUCCAUGUGGAAGACCCAAGUUCGAUUCCUGGCCAAUGCA
RNAcentral lists this transfer RNA (71 nucleotides) under Loxodonta africana (African savanna elephant). It matches the Rfam family "tRNA". Rfam says of the family: Transfer RNA (tRNA) molecules are approximately 80 nucleotides in length. Their secondary structure includes four short double-helical elements and three loops (D, anti-codon, and T loops). Further hydrogen bonds mediate the characteristic L-shaped molecular structure. tRNAs have two regions of fundamental functional importance: the anti-codon, which is responsible for specific mRNA codon recognition, and the 3' end, to which the tRNAs corresponding amino acid is attached (by aminoacyl-tRNA synthetases). tRNAs cope with the degeneracy of the genetic code in two manners: having more than one tRNA (with a specific anti-codon) for a particular amino acid; and 'wobble' base-pairing, i.e. permitting non-standard base-pairing at the 3rd anti-codon position. The record is from Rfam by way of RNAcentral. Lineage: Eukaryota; Metazoa; Chordata; Mammalia; Proboscidea; Elephantidae.